AUUUACGUGCCAAUUAUAAUAUAGGGAACUUUAAUUGAUUCAACUCCCCCGUUCCCUAAAUCUUUUCUUUCUUCUCUUUUUCUUUUUCUAUUAAUUAACUCAUCAUUUAUGUGUAUUAGGGACUCCCUUGCACGAGUACAAGAUUUUCCUUAGCCUAAUCUAGGCUUAAUACCCUAUUAUGGCAUGAAAUUUCUUAUUUUCCACCCAGAUAAACAGUAACCCGAACCGACAACGGGUUAUUUCAUCCCGGUUUUGGUCCACUUUCUAAACUCCAAAUUUUAUGAAAUUUAUACCCAAUGUUCUACACUCAUAGGGGUUUCCAGAAUGGUAACAUGCAUCCCCAUCGGAGGCCGAUUGACCCCCGAAAUAAUUCACCGAAGUUGGGACUUCGACACGGUUUUUCCGUAGUGCCGGAAAAAUUUGUCGAAAUCCGAUUCUUCCUCUUUUAACACCCUUUUUCAACUGUCAUCAACCCUUUCUAUAGCAUAAAUUCUUUAGAAUACUAGGUAGGGACGGGUAUUUAUCUUUUUCUUCUUGUGAAACUUGGGUCCUUGCGUAGAGGGGAAGGAGACCUACGUUUUUUUCUUCAGCUCGGAGCGCAACCGGGAUCCCUCUCCUCCUCGAAUCCCCUUCCUCUUCUUCUUUCUUCUUCUUCUUCUUCUUUUUUCCUUCUUUCUUUCCUCUCUGCGUCUCUGACUCUCCCUCUCUGUUACUCUCUCUCGGUUUCCAUCCAAAAGCCACAGCAAACCCCCUUAAUUAAGUCACAUCAAAACACUAUUCACCCUUUGUUUAAUAUUAUUAAAUUCCCAUUUUGCCCCUAACACUUCAACAUAUCUACUGUUAUGCCAUUAACUUUUGAUUCCUUCCAAUUUUACCCCUUAUAUCAAUUUUAAAGGACUAUUCUAUCCCUUUUUAUAUAAAAAAAAAAUUUUGGGGUUAUUACAUCCUCCCCUCCUUAUAUAAAAUUCGUCCUCGAAUUUAAAAGAGUAAAUUACCUGAUUACUCAAAGAGGUGAGGGUAUUUGCUCUUCAUACUUUGCUCCGACUCCCAAGUGCAUUCUUCAACAUUGUGUCGGUGCCAUUGGACCUUUACCAUACAUAUUUUCUUAUUUCUUAGCUUCCUGAUCUGAGUAUCAAGGAUAGCUACAGGAAGCUCUUCAUAAGAAAGGUCUU
This 1172-nucleotide long non-coding RNA is filed under the name Phoenix dactylifera (date palm). RNAcentral's name for it is "long non-coding RNA (PDAC_LNC010590)". Lineage: Eukaryota; Viridiplantae; Streptophyta; Magnoliopsida; Arecales; Arecaceae. The record is from RNAcentral.